RNAcentral lists this ribosomal RNA (405 nucleotides) under uncultured bacterium. RNAcentral's name for it is "partial 16S ribosomal RNA". It matches the Rfam family "Bacterial small subunit ribosomal RNA", at positions 30 to 526 of the family's 1533-position model. The record is from RNAcentral.
AUUGAACGCUAGCGGGAUGCCUUACACAUGCAAGUCGAACGAGUGGCGAACGGGUGAGUAAUGAAUCGGAACGUGCCCAGUAGAGGGGGAUAACUACGCGAAAAGUAGCUAAUACCGAAUACUCUUGGACAGGCCGAUAUGGGAUUGGCUAGCUGGUGGGGUAACGGCUAACCAAGGCGACGAUCCGUAGCUGGUUUGAGAGGACGAACAGCCACACGGUGACUGUGACACGGCCCAGACUCCUACGGGAGGCAGCAGUGGGGAAUAUUGGACAAUGGGCGCAACCCUGAGCCAGCCAGCCCGCGUGUGCGAAGAAGGCCUUCGGGUUGUAAAGCACUUUUGGCAGGAAAGCGGUACCUGCAGAAUAAGCACCGGCUAACUACGUGCCAGCAGCCGCGGUAAUAC